RNAcentral lists this long non-coding RNA (305 nucleotides) under Durio zibethinus. RNAcentral's name for it is "long non-coding RNA (DZIB_LNC001809)". Lineage: Eukaryota; Viridiplantae; Streptophyta; Magnoliopsida; Malvales; Malvaceae. The record is from RNAcentral.
GGAAAUGUUAAAAUGGGCGACUGCAGGCAGGGAAAGGGAUAUAAAGCAUGAAAAAGUUACAUGUGGGGAAGAUGGCUGCAAUUAUUUCAGUUUUGGGGCUUUUGGGCAUGCUCUACCCUUCUCCUGCAAUAAUAGUCGAGGCCAGGCAGGUCACACAGGCUAGCUUUUAUAAUUACUCACAUCAAAUAUGUGUUUUUAGGCCCUUUUCUCGUCCUCAAGCUAAGUAAAACCCCACGCUUCCAUUACCUUUAUUUUCAUAUAUAAUAAAAAAUAUAUGAAGAAUAUAGAAUUUGCUUUAAUUGAUU